CCUACGGGAGGCUGCAGUGGGGAAUAUUGGACAAUGGGGGGAACCCUGAUCCAGCCAUGCCGCGUGUGUGAAGAAGGCCCUCGGGUUGUAAAGCACUUUCAGUGAGGAAGAACGCCUGGUGGUUAAUACCCAUCAGGAAAGACAUCACUCACAGAAGAAGCACCGGCUAACUCCGUGCCAGCAGCCGCGGUAAUACGGAGGGUGCGAGCGUUAAUCGGAAUUACUGGGCGUAAAGCGCGCGUAGGUGGCUUGAUAAGCCGGUUGUGAAAGCCCCGGGCUCAACCUGGGAACGGCAUCCGGAACUGUCAAGCUAGAGUGCAGGAGAGGAAGGUAGAAUUCCCGGUGUAGCGGUGAAAUGCGGAGAGAUCGGGAGGAAUACCAGUGGCGAAGGCGGCCUUAUGGACUGACACUGACACUGAGGUGCGAAAGCGUGGGUAGCAAACAGGAUUAGAUACCCUUGUAGUC
Molecule: ribosomal RNA, 465 nt
Filed under: Vreelandella stevensii
Lineage: Bacteria; Pseudomonadati; Pseudomonadota; Gammaproteobacteria; Oceanospirillales; Halomonadaceae
Description: partial 16S ribosomal RNA
Rfam family: Bacterial small subunit ribosomal RNA
Source: RNAcentral